AUUAAAGUUGUUGCGGUUAAAAAGCUCGUAGUUGGAUUUUGGGGCUUGGCGUACGGUCCGGUGUAAAUCGCGCACUGUGCGCUGGGCUCUUCCGUUUGGUGGCGGAAGCGGUGCUUCACUGUGCCGCGGACGCUUCCAGACCUUCACUUUGAACAAAUUAGAGUGUUUAAAGCAGGCAGUCGCCUUGAAUACAUUAGCAUGGAAUGAACAUAUAGGACUUUGGUUCUAUUUUGUUGGUUUUAAGGACCAAAGUAAUGAUUAAUAGGGAUAGUUGGGGGCAUUAAUAUUUAAUUGUCAGAGGUGAAAUUCUUAGAUUUAUGAAAGAUUAACUUCUGCGAAAGCAUUUGCCAAGGAUGUUUUCAUUAAUCAAGAACGAAAGUUAGGGGAUCGAAGACGAUCAGAUACCGUCGUAGUCUUAACCAUAAACUAUGCCGACUAGGGAUUGGAAGAUGUUAUUUUCAUGACUCCUUCAGCACCUUAUGAGAAAUCAAAGUGUUUGGGUUCCGGGGGGAGUAUGGUCGCAAGGCUGAAACUUAAAGGAAUUGACGGAAGGGCACCACCAGGAGUGGAGCCUGCGGCUUAAUUUGACACAACACGGGAAAACUUACCAGGUCCAGACAUAGUAAGGAUUGACAGAUUGAGAGCUCUUUCUUGAUUCUAUGGGUGGUGGUGCAUGGCCGUUCUUAGUUGGUGGAGUGAUUUGUCUGCUUAAUUGCGAUAACGAACGAGACCUUAACCUGCUAAAUAGUUACGCGAACCUUCGUGUUCGUGGCCAACUUCUUAGAGGGACUUUUGCGUGUUUUAACCAAAGGAAGUUUGAGGCAAUAACAGGUCUGUGAUGCCCUUAGAUGUUCUGGGCCGCACGCGCGCUACACUGACUGGUUCAGCAAGUUUAUAACCUUGGCCGGAAGGUCUGGGUAAUCUUUGAAAGCCAGUCGUGAUGGGGAUAGUCCCUUGCAAUUAUGGGACUUGAACGAGGAAUUCCUAGUAAGUGCAAGUCAUCAGCUUGCGUUGAUUACGUCCCUGCCCUUUGUACACACCGCCCGUCGCUCCUACCGAUUGGAUGAUCCGGUGAGGUGUUCGGACUGCCCUUUAUCCGGGGUAACCUGGAUUUGGGUGCGGAAAGAUUCCCUAACCUUAUCAUCUAGAGGAAGGAGAAGUCGUAACAAGGUUUCCGUAGGUGAACCUGCGGAAG
RNAcentral lists this ribosomal RNA (1195 nucleotides) under metagenome. RNAcentral describes it as "SSU rRNA". It matches the Rfam family "Eukaryotic small subunit ribosomal RNA", at positions 603 to 1823 of the family's 1831-position model. The record is from RNAcentral.